Molecule: unclassified non-coding RNA, 375 nt
Filed under: fungal sp.
Lineage: Eukaryota; Fungi
Description: partial internal transcribed spacer region
Rfam family: Eukaryotic small subunit ribosomal RNA (bases 1-46)
Source: RNAcentral
AAGUCGUAACAAGGUUUCCGUAGGUGAACCUGCGGAAGGAUCAUUAUAAAAAUUUAACACUUUUUAAAAAUUCUCACUGAAUUCACUCUCAGUGUUGUGAUCUCUGUCAAGCCUUAAGGUGAAGGUCGUAAGACUGAAUCCUUGAGCAAACCCUUUUUUUUAACUUAACCAAAAAAACCCAAUUCAAACCCCAAAAAUGGACUUCCUUUGGUUUUUCUUUUUUUGAAUUUCCGCAAGGAAUGUAAAAAAAUGGAAAAUCAAAGAACUCUCCAAACUUAAAAACAAAACAAAAAACAAAAAACACUCACCGAGUGUAUAAACUAAAAAUUCAUAAAAUGAAAUACAACUCUUAACAAUGGAUAUCUCGGUUCUCGU